CCCAACUAUCCCUAUUAAUCAUUGCUCACAAAUCCAAAAACCAACAAAAUACGAUAAACGAGCCCUAACUUAUUAUUCCAGCUCUAAUAGCGUAUAUUAAAGUUGUUGCAGUUAAAAAGUUCGUAGUUGAAUUUCGGGAUCAAAUUGUCGGUCAUGCUUCGGUACGCACUGGCAUUAUUGGUUCCUACCUUCUGAAGAACCACGAUGUCAUUAAUUUGGUGUCGUGGGGAAUCAGGACUGUUACUUUGAAAAAAUUAGAGUGUUUAAAGUAGGCGCACGCUUGAAUACAUUAGCGUGGAAUAAUGAAAUAGGACGUUUGAUUCUAUUUUGUUGGUUUCUAGGAUCGACGUAAUGAUUAAUAGGGAUAGUUGGGAGAGUAGCUAAG
Molecule: unclassified non-coding RNA, 385 nt
Filed under: uncultured Glomerales
Lineage: Eukaryota; Fungi; Glomeromycota; Glomeromycetes; Glomerales; Glomeraceae
Description: bacterial SSU rRNA
Rfam family: Eukaryotic small subunit ribosomal RNA
Source: RNAcentral